ACGCUGGCGGCGUGCCUAAUACAUGCAAGUAGAACGCUGAAGAGAGGAGCUUGCUCUUCUUGGAAGAGUUGCGAACGGGUGGGUAACGCGUAGGUAACCUGCCUUGUAGCGGGGGAUAACUAUUGGAAACGAUAGCUAAUACCGCAUAACAAUGGGUGACCCAUGUCAUUCAUUUGAAAGGGGCAACUGCUCCACUACAAGAUGGACCUGCGUCGUAUUAGCUAGUAGGUGAGGUAACGGCUCACCUAGGCGACGAUACAUAGCCGACCUGAGAGGGUGAUCGGCCACACUGGGACUGAGACACGGCCCAGACUCCUACGGGAGGCAGCAGUAGGGAAUCUUCGGCAAUGGGGGCAACCCUGACCGAGCAACGCCGCGUGAGUGAAGAAGGUUUUCGGAUCGUAAAGCUCUGUUGUAAGUCAAGAACGAGUGUGAGAGUGGAAAGUUCACACUGUGACGGUAGCUUACCAGAAAGGGACGGCUAACUACGUGCCAGCAGCCGCGGUAAUACGUAGGUCCCGAGCGUUGUCCGGAUUUAUUGGGCGUAAAGCGAGCGCAGGCGGUUUGAUAAGUCUGAAGUUAAAGGCUGUGGCUCAACCAUAGUUCGCUUUGGAAACUGUCAAACUUGAGUGCAGAAGGGGAGAGUGGAAUUCCAUGUGUAGCGGUGAAAUGCGUAGAUAUAUGGAGGAACACCGGUGGCGAAAGCGGCUCUCUGGUCUGUAACUGACGCUGAGGCUCGAAAGCGUGGGGAGCGAACAGGAUUAGAUACCCUGGUAGUCCACGCCGUAAACGAUGAGUGCUAGGUGUUGGGUCCUUUCCGGGAUUCAGUGCCGCAGCUAACGCAUUAAGCACUCCGCCUGGGGAGUACGACCGCAAGGUUGAAACUCAAAGGAAUUGACGGGGGCCCGC
RNAcentral lists this ribosomal RNA (909 nucleotides) under uncultured bacterium. Its description in RNAcentral is "bacterial SSU rRNA". It matches the Rfam family "Bacterial small subunit ribosomal RNA", at positions 33 to 924 of the family's 1533-position model. The record is from RNAcentral.